ACAAGGGCGAGGCUGUAUUCGGUUACUGACAAAAAAACAACCAAACAGCUCUCUGAUUCCCCAUAGCGAUCAAUUCGAGAGCUGCAGUGUCAGUGUUAUUCCAGAGUCCAUGUUGAAGUUUAUUUAUUCAGACUUUUCGUUCGUCUGGGUCAUUUCAGGGCAGGAGCCGCAUCUAUUCACCUUCGUGUACACGCGCAGUUUAUUUUUAGAUUUUUGGUUUGAAGGGAAAAAGGACGUCUAA
Molecule: long non-coding RNA, 241 nt
Filed under: Lepisosteus oculatus (spotted gar)
Lineage: Eukaryota; Metazoa; Chordata; Actinopteri; Semionotiformes; Lepisosteidae
Description: lncRNA (ENSLOCG00000022100.1)
Source: RNAcentral